CCCUUAGAUGUUCUGGGCCGCACGCGCGCUACACUGAUGCAUUCAACGAGUUUCUUCCUGGUCCGAGAGGAAUGGGUAACCUUUUGAAAGUGCAUCGUGAUAGGGAUAGACUGUUGCAAUUAUUGGUCUUCAACGAGGAAUUCCUAGUAGACGUAGUUCAUCAGACUGCAUCGAUUACGUCCCUGCCCUUUGUACACACCGCCCGUCGCUCCUACCGAUUGAAUGCUCAGGUGAGCCAUUCGGACUUUCAUCAUGCUGGUUUCCAGUUUUGAUGAAGGAAAGUCUUGCGAACCUUAUCAUUUAGAGGAAGGAGAAGUCGUAACA
Molecule: ribosomal RNA, 324 nt
Filed under: uncultured eukaryote
Lineage: Eukaryota
Description: partial 18S ribosomal RNA
Rfam family: Eukaryotic small subunit ribosomal RNA
Source: RNAcentral